Long non-coding RNA from Solanum pennellii, 2467 nucleotides. RefSeq lists it as uncharacterized. The record is from RefSeq and is a predicted model, not a curated record. NCBI's taxonomy places the organism in Eukaryota, Viridiplantae, Streptophyta, Magnoliopsida, Solanales, Solanaceae. The transcript has 2 exons.
CUCAACUGAUCCAAAUCAAAUUCCCAGGCCCAUUUGCCUUUAACUCCCAAUUCUCCUAGCAGCCCACCAAUGACUUGUACAUUGCCCUACUCCUCUUUCCCUUUCAACAAAUUGAAACCCAACUAAGCAAACAAAUUCCCAGCACGUCUCAACAUUGAAACACAACUUUCCCAACAUCCCACGCGCUUCUCUUCUUCCUCUUCGCGGGAACAAGCAACGUGUCGAGGCGACGCUGCGCAGCAAGUUCACGCCUUGGACGCGUGAAUCGUGUUCAUUGUGACCUUUUGUCGUCUUCUCUCUCUCUGUAGUGCUUUUAGCAGGAGCAGACCUGCAAACUCGUCCUUUGGCGUAGGAUUGAGACACGUCAAUGCCAAGGACAUGGAAAUUGAUCGAAGUCAUCCGUCCUUUUCCCUUUUCGGAAUGAAAUUGAAAGGUUCAGAAAAGCUUUGAUGGCCAAAAUGGUGAAAGAUUUUUUUUCAAAUUUUGAACGGAAGAUGGGACUCAAAUCCGGAUUUCGUUCCUUUCCCCCAAAAAUUUUUGUAGCCCUAAUCCUUGGCUAUAUAAGCUCGCUUUCUUGUCAUUCAGGGGGGGAUUCUUGAGCGGAAAAUACAAAAAAUAUACCUUAAGCAGAGUAAUAGAAGCAGGCGUUAAAAAUACUUUUUUAAGAAAAGGAGAUAGUCGAUUUCGGCUAGCUCUUCUGUUCUUUUGUUACUGGUGUUCCUCCCAACUUUCUUUGUCAAGAUUCUGAAAUGCAUCUGGGUCUCUUGCCGCUGUUCGGCCCUGUGCUCGGGGGUAGGAGUCACUUCUCAAUUCGUCGUCUCCGUUCGCUGCACAUAAGCAGAUUAAUGCGGUUCAUGUGACUAUCCUUUCCGCCUUCGGAAUUUUGUCCUAAGAUACUUUUAUGGGUAUCUUUGCAUUUAAAGUUUGUUCCCCUCUGUUAGGCUUAAUGUUGUAUAAUCUGCAUAUCAUAUUUCCUUAGUGAGUUUUUUUUUAGAAACAUGAUAGCACAUAUAGACACCAUCUCUAGUUGUUUUGCUUAUAACCUCCAUUGUCAUUUCUCUUUGGCCAUCAAUUUGUACGUUAGCUUAACUAGCAAUUUUGAGUAAGAUGGUUUGCUUAACCUCUUUACCUUGCUAUCUCUAGACAUAGUUAUUUACUCUGUUCUUUUAUUUAUUUAUUUAUUUUUUAUUUUAAUUUCUAGUGUUAUGUUCAAUUAAUUUGUUGUCUCCAUCUGUAUACGUCUUUGCUUCAUUGACUGAAGUUUGUAUUCUCCCCUCCCCCCUCGUAAGUUUACUUGAGAGUUCAAGAAAUAUGGUUUGUAUGUGGUCAUUUGUUCAACUUUUUUAGUUUAUCUAUUUAUUUAUUUUAUUUGUUUGAGUUGGGAAUCUUCCAUGAUAUAAUAGCGGUGUUUUCUUACGUGCAUUUAUCAAUCAUGAACUAUUUUUCCUUCAACUCCAACAACCUAUGCUGGCAAAGUCCUUUUAUUUUAUUCUUUCUAAAAAAAAUAAUAAGAAAACCAUGGCUUACAUUUCCAAGUUCUUUGUAUAUUAACUGUAUGCCUCUUUGAGAAAGGUCGGAGUCAAAUGAAAAAAUAUAUCUUCUAUUUCUAAUGCAUUUGUAGUGGUUCACUCUUGAUAUCAUUACACUUUUUGUCAUCUUAAUAAUGAGAUAAAUGGGUUUCCUUUUUGGUGUUCUAUUGUAGCUUGGCUUAUUUACAUGAUUUCUAUGCCUUUUGAGAGAGUUUUAAAUACCAUUCUUGUUGGUUAUUGUUGAUUGAGUUUAGUUUGAGUUUGUGUUUAGCUUCAAUCAAGUUUUUUUGCGGUUAUUUUUGUUUGUCUUACCAUUGUGAGUAGGUGCUAACUUUCGUUCAUGUUGUUCUUUUCACGUGAAACUCCUCUCGAGUCCAUUUGGACUCCAUUUCCUAUCCUUGCGUUUUCUUCUUGAGCCCUAAGGGCUCAAACUGUCUUCCCCGAUGUCGUUCAACCUCUAAAAUGGCGUACAGGGCAAAAAGCAGCACUCGUUUACCGAAAAUUAAUUUUCCACCACCCGGGAAGUCAAAAACAGGUUGAUAUACAUGUUAUAUACACCGGUAUGCAGAUGGGAUAUACCAAAAAUAGGUGCAAAAACGUGAAAAUGCAGAUCAUAAAAUACAGAAUACAAAAUUAGAUACAAUACAAGUUUCGGAAGGUUCAAAACCGGCUGUUUGUGCGUCAUAUACAGCGGUAUACAUUAAGUGUAUACCAGAUUUUUUAAAGAGAAAUGGAGUCAAAGCCCAUUUGAGUUCCCUGAAGAAUUUUAUGAGAAAUGGGCCAAGGCCCAAAAGAGAAAAGCAGAAAAAUGAAGGAAAACAUGGGCCAAAAUACAAGUUUAACUACUUCCUCUCACUAUGUUUUUACUAUUGAUUGACUAACCUUAUUGAAUUUCGGUUUUAAUUUAAUUAAUUCCCAGCGAUAGCUAUUUUUCUUUA